Molecule: ribosomal RNA, 119 nt
Filed under: Pteropus alecto (black flying fox)
Lineage: Eukaryota; Metazoa; Chordata; Mammalia; Chiroptera; Pteropodidae
Source: RNAcentral
GUCUAUGGCCAUGCCACCCUGAGCAAGCCUGAAACCGUCUGAUUUCGGAAGCUAAGCAAGGUCGGGCCUGGUUAGUACUUGGAUGGGAGACCACCUAGGAAGACCAGGUGCUGUAGGCA